CUUGUGACAGAGAAAAUACCUCCUUAGCUUAGCUAGCUAGUUAGGCCUCCUACAGUUCAAUCUAAUCUCACCGUUGGAUCCAGUGAGUGGCUUAUUAUCUCCCAUCUUGAUCAUUGCCUUGGCAAAGUCAGAAUUGAAGGUAUUGGCACUGCCGCUGUACGUUUUAACCAAUGAAUCUGUGGAUCCACCAUUGUUGUAGAGAAUUUGGUCAGAGUGGAGGAGGCCCUUUUGGUUGAUGAGGUUCUUGAAGUAAGCAGUGUCAAAAGUGUUGGGAGUUUGGACGUCCAAAGGUGCAAGGUUGUUGUCUCCUGAGCCAACGGUACUUGGGCAUUUGCUUUGCCUGGCCUUGGCAAAUGAUGCAUCAAUGUUGGUCUCGUUGUAUAUGCGAGCUCUGAAAGAUGUGCACCUUGCUUGCCCGAUUGUGUGCGCUCCUGCCAUCACGUAACAUAACAUGUUAGAUUAUCUGACAAAAUUAACCUUUUUUGUAUACAAACGUUUUAAUUGUUAUAUAUAAAUGAGAAUCAUAGAUCAUCGAAUGUAAACAAAUGAAAUACUGACACAUCAGUUAAGGGGGUGCUGUGAUUGUUACCAGAUAGGGCUACCAAGUCCCUUUCAUUGAGACCUACAGCUUGGAAUCUAGUUUUGAGCUGGCUGAGGGUAGAAGUGGGAGGAGGGAUGACUCCACUGUUGGCAGCAGCGAGGCUAGCUGUCUUGGAAUCCCUUCUUCCAAGUUUAACAUUCCAACUUGGUCCUCCAAGCUGCAACAAAAUAAAAAGCAAAGUUUCUAAGUGUUAAUAGAAUAAAUUAAUAUCCCUAAAAAUAUUGGAUAUUAACUGUUAAUUUAGCAUAAUUAGUAUCAUGUGUUUUUGUUGUGAUGUGUAAAAUUAAGUGAAAAAUUUGUAUUUGUUACUCACAAUCUUAACGGAGUCUCGAGCAGCAAUGGCUAAAAUAUCAGCACAUGAAACGACGCCGGGACAUGUUUUUUCCACUUGGGACUUAAUGUUAUCCACAACCUCAAAUCCCCUAACAGAGUUAUUAUUGGGACGUGCAGUCUUCUCUCCUGUGAAAGAAGAAGUGUCGUCGAGCAGUAUAGACCCAUCACAACCCUGGUUAUGAUCAAUUAAACACCACAGGAUUAGGUACGGGAAGGGAGAUCGAACUCACGUACAAAGAAAAGGUAGACACACUACUUUAGUCAAUUGGUCUAACCCACAACUAAUAAUAAUUUUUAAGUUAUUAUUAAACACUAAGAUAUAUAAUUGUUUAAACAUGAAACUGUAAAGUCAACAUGUAUGCGAUGUUUACUAAUUAAACACCAACAUAAUUUGAAUAAGGAGACACUGAGAAAAUUAAUUAUUGGUAUUAGGUAUGUUCAUGCCCCCAUGAUGUUGAAAAUAUUUUACUGCCGUAAAGGGCGCCUUUGGGAUUUCAUCAUCGAAGACUAGGACUUUUGCCAUAUAUGCACGUCUUCAACCUGCGUGCAGCAUAUUUAAAUUUUCGUAGGGGAGAACAUAGAAAAGUGAGGAGAACCAUGUUUUUCUUUUUCAUGCAAAUACAAGUUCAUUUGUUUUCAUCAUCUCCUAUACAUUAUUAUUGUAGAUGUGACACAAUGAUUGAACUUUGACAACAGCAGGGCAGACAGAAUUUGUAAUUACAAACAAUAUCACAUGUUUUUCUUCAUAAUAUAUAAAUAAAAACAAGAAAAAUAAUGCAUGCUAUCAUUUCAUUAUUAAGAGGUAGUAUGACGUGACAGCAUAUGAGAUAUACGUGUUAAAGUUCAUCAUAAACUGUUAACAUAAUAAAAAACAAAAAAAUACAAAUUAGGGCUGUUCAUGUUUAAUGUAGAGAUUAUUUCUGCCGACAAGUCCUACGACUUGAAAACUGAUUUCAAUAAAAGUUCAACAAAGCUAAAAACUAAAAUAAAAAGUAAAUGCAAUGCAAUACAAAACAACACUAUUUAAAUUUAAAAUUUAACUUUGUUAAGCUUGAAACUCUUAAAAGAUAGUCUAUGAAUAAUAUGUAGAAAUAUUUUUAAUCAAACAUACAAUAAAAAAUCAAACAAAUUUUCAUAAUAGCAUAUCAAUAAUACCAAACCAAAAUUUAUAAUUCACCCAUAACUAAGCCCUAGAAUACUCAAUUUUAACAAAAUCUCAAAUCAAAGCCAUACAAGAAUUCAUCCCUAAUCAAAGCCCUAAUUAAUUUCAACAAAAUCCCAGAGUUAAAAUUCAUCCUUAAUUCCUAAAAUACUCGAUUUUAAAUUAAAACUAUAAUUAAGGAUAUAUAGCAAAGGAGAGAAUGAGAAUAAUACUUCUUGUUAACAAAAGGAGAGGAGAAUAUAUUAUUGCCAAAUUGCCCAUCCAAAAUAAUAGAAGAUGUAGCAAAUAGAGGAAGAAUUUGACCCCAAAAAAAGAGAGGAGAAACUUGUUGCUAUCGGGUAGCAAAGAGAGAGGGAGAAACAAGAAGUCUAAUAGGCCGAAAGAGAAGGAGAGAAGAUAUGAGACCACCUGGAUGGGCAACAUAUGUGUAGGGUUUGUUUUAAAUAUUUUUUAAUUUUUGGAUGGGCUUAUAACACAUGUAGGUAAUUUUUUUAUUAAAAAAAAAAAAAUUGGGCUAGGCGGGCUGCCCUGUGCAUAGCACCGCCCAUGAGCCGUACUUAAUUAAUAUGUAACAUAGAUAAAUUAAAUGUGGGUUAAGUCAGUUAGCCAAGACAGUGAGCCCACCCUCUUGCACCCAGAUUCGAGUCCCCUCUUCCUAUAGAUUGAAUUAAUGUAAAAUAAUUUAAAUUAUCGCUUAUAUAAAAUAAAAAAAAUGAAUAAGAAAUAAUUACAUUAACAAAGCAGUCAUGAAAGUGAAGGCGAAGGAGGGAAGCUCCCAUGCGCUUUUCUUUGUUCACAGCAGACUGCACAACAGAUUUGACUGCAUCAAAAACCUUAGGGCAACUCUUCGAAUAGAAAUUUGUAGAGAGCUGAGCAGAAGAGCUCCCUGUGAAACCCACAAGAAGGACAAUCACCCAUAUGGAACACAGAGAAGAACUCCUACCAGAAGCCAUUGGUAAUUUCAAAAGCUGAUUAAAUUAACAAAGGGUUUAACAAGGGUUUAGGAGUGAUAGCUUUGGCAGCUUAAGAGAGCCCUUGGUGUAUGCAUGGAGAUUAAAAGGGUUUAUAUUUAUAGAGGAAGAAAUGAGGGGAGGGGGAGUUUGGCGCUGGCAGGUUACCUAAUCUGAAAGACUAAGACUAAGUAUAAGCAGUGCAUGGCAUGGGAUUUCUACGUCUAGAACUUAAUUAAAUGCAUUAUUAAUAAUUAUUAAUUAGCCAACUGUAAGGAUUGAAAAUGACAGACCAAGUAAACACCAAAACACGUUUAGUGAAAUGAACCAAAGGCAGACAGUCAAUCGGGGAAUGGAUCAAAAUCAUACUUUUGGGGGCUCCACUGACUUUGUCUUUUAAACUUUUUUGGGAUUUCGUGAAGAUAUCAGGCAAAGAAUUGAACAAUUCCAACCACACAGAAAAUAAUUGGAGCGCUUGGUGUUCGUAAGCUUAGAUCGAAGGUUAAUUAUGUUAAAUUUAUCGAGCCUAAGAGUGUGGGAAGACCCUAAUUUUUCUUUUCAAAUGAUUAUAAAAUCUUGAUUAGUUCUAAGUGAGGGUGAUUUUCACGUUUAAAAGAUAAACGAAGAGCUAGUAGAGUGAGAAAGUAACUAGGAUUCCUCAUAUUCAUUUUAGGCCAUCAAUUAUAAUACAAAGAGAUGUCAAUAUGGAUUCAAAUAUGAGACUUCUGACCUGCAAAAUCAAGAUUAUUUUUUACUGGAUUAGACAUUUAAACGUUUUUUCAACUGCUUAUUUCUCUAUAUAUUGAAAUCGUAAAAUAAUAACACUUUUUAUCUCACUCUCCACAUUUUCAAGAUUCCCUGUGGUUCUUUUUUGAACGAGAUACAAACACUAGAGACUAGAAACGGCCAAAAUAGAGGAAGACAUCAAAAGACAAGUACCAACUAAAUUUGAAUCAUCUUCGACUAAAAAACGAAACUUGAAUAAUCAAAAGAUAAGAUUAAAGUAAUUGCAAAGACUUGUCUAGCUUCAUGUAAUUUCCAUCUUUUCUUCCUCAGAGAAACGUAGGUAAAGCCAAAAUAAAUAAAGAAAAACAGUGCUCUUCUAGAAAAAAUAGAAAAAAACAUUAAAUAUGCCAUGAAAAAUUGAGUGAAAAAUGAUCUGUGACUGCGUAUUUUUGGCAGGUCGUCUGUAGCUAUCACAUACAGAUCGACAAGGGCUUUUAGACAAGAAAUUUUAAGUUUUGAGUGUGACGAGAUGACAUUUGUAGGCAAGCAACAGAUAGGGUCAAUUUAGUAAUGAUGUUGUUUUGAUUAUUGAUGAAUUUAGUUAAGGAUGGAUAAUCAUGUCUCAAACCUUUUUUUUCUUACAUAGUACGUAGUGAUUUGUAAAACCGUUAAUAAUUAGAUGUGAGUUUUAUACUUAGUGGACCCACAUGCAUGUGGUUAGAGCUUAGCUAGAAGAUUCAUGAUGCGACUCGCAUUUAUUUCUAUUUGACUUCCAAUUUCUGUUCGAAAGCAAAAUUAAGGGACUAAAAUUCAAAGUUAGGCACCAUGCAAAUUAUGAAAAUCCUAUAAAUGCAGUUUCAUUAUUGGGAUUUCUUUCAUUGCCAUAAAUGUAAUGUAGAGUUGUUGGACCAUUUUUAUAGCCACGGAAUUCGUCAAGUAUAACAUCAUUUAGUAUUCGUAUAUGUAUUUUUAGAAUUUAUCUAUUGAAAAUUUGUGAUUGUCUAUGCAACUCCCUGUUAGCUGGGUUUAAAAUUAUAUAUUUAUUUUUUAACUAUUUUGUAAUACUUGAGUUUAAUUGGUAUUGUUGUUAUAAUCUGUAUUGCAAGAACCUCCUUUUAGGACUGUGUUCUUAUUGUCGUAAUCUGGGUUUGUGCUAUGUGUCUUUAAUUUAAUUGAAUUGCUACUGUUUAAAAAAAAAAUUAGAAAUAGACUCCAGAUGCCCGUCUCUUCAGUGAUGGCAAUGGCCACCACCGCCACCCACUACAAGUGUAGCUUUCUCAAAUUAAAGAGAUUAAUUAUCUGGGGCUGCUUUCGAUCACGUUUCAUGCAACAACAAUUUUCCACGUGUCUGCAGAAAACAAGUAUCAAUUCUUUAUAGUGUAUAAUAUAGCUUACAUGCAUCUUUUAAUAUAUCUAUUUUCCGUAGCACUUUAUUUAUUUAUUUUCUGACAAGAAAGUCUGAAUACAACUAUUGUGGAUGCCAAUUGUUAGUGAAUCGAAAUAAAUAUAAAAUUCAAUUAGGGUGUAAAUUGAUUUGCAAACAUUUGGAAUAUUAUUCGAGAAUUAAUAUUACAAUAUUCUUUAUUUUUUUUUAACCUUUUUUUUAAAAUAUUAAAUAUUUUAAAAUAUCUUGUUUCUGCACAUCUAUUUUAAUACAAUGAUAUAUAAGUCCAAUAAUGCAUUCUUAUCCAGUAAUUAAUCAAACCUUAAACCUUAAAAUUUUGAUAAGUUAAACCAUCUUAAUCUCUAUCUACUCGUUCAAAGUCGACCGACUUUCUACUCUGUCUUUUUCAAUUAUUUAUUUAAGAGGAAUUCAAGUUGAAUGAGUUAGUAGUUCAGAUUUUGCCAAAAAACAAGGCUUGGCUUCUUAAAAUUAAGAAAGAGCUUCUCCUUAAAACCACUUGUCGUAUUCUAGCAAGAUUGACAAAGUUUCAACAAAAGAGAAAAAUGAAAACUAAAAAAAAUUUACACGUGAAAAUCACAUUGGUUGUAAUUUCAUAAAAAGAUUUGUUUGGAAGGUUAAAUAGUGAUAGGCUGCUGCUGAUAUAAGUAGCAAAAAGGAAAGAGAAUAGUUCUAUCUCAUUUGAACGUGUGAUGCAAAACAUACAGUACGUUGAAAGUUUUUCAGAGAUGGUUGUUGUUAAUUAGUUGCUAUGAUUGACUGUUUGUCAUUUCCGCCAUGAGACUGACUAGAUAGAGCUGGCUGGGUGCACUGGAUCGAUAUGACUCCUUUCCAUGAGUUGGCAUCCUUGAACGAUAUCAUUAAAAGUAAACGUGUAUCAAACGUGUUUGAGAUUUUACAAACAAACAUAGCAGCAGAUAGAAGGCUAUCGAAGUUCUUUGCGUCAUUUUCUUUUUCGGAUCAAUAUAGACUAGAGCUUGUUUUGAUGUUGUAGCUACCCAAUGAAUUAGCUACCAAGAACUAUAUUGAUUAUAUAAAAAAAAGUAAAGCAAAUAUAUAUACUUAAAAUUUUAAUUACAUUCCGCCGUGAUUUACUACAAAUCGAAUUAACUUCAUCAACUCAUGAAGUUGAAAAAAUUAAUGAUGAAGGGACAAUUAUCAUCUACUAUAAUCGUUGUAUCAAAAAUCAACUCUUACCAUUUCAAGUUUCAUUUUUGAGUUAGAGAAAAUGAACAAGAUAUAUGAUAGAAUAAGAAUUUGAACACAUAAUUUGUUGAGUGAAUUCAACAUGUUUGAAAUAUUAGAUUGGUGGGUAGGGCUAAACCCUAACUGAUCGACCUACUAAAAAAGCAUAAAAUAGUGAGCUUGACUUUUAUCUGCAGCCACCUUUCCUAAUCAUAGCAGACAAAGCCCUUUCAUUUUCUUAAAUUUAAUGCUGCCCUUUCCUAAUCGUAUUUAUUUUAUAUAAUAAAAGGCAGAGAAUUGUGAAAUAUUUAAAAUAUAAAAAAAUAUCCUAAGUUAAUGCAAAUAUUAAGAAUUGAAAUUAUUAAUUAAACCAAGGUGGUUGGUGUGAGUGGUUCGGCACUCUCAUUCCUUAAGAGAAGGUCAGGGGUUCGACCCUUGCUCUCGUAUGGAGUCACUACUUUGGCCAGCACUUUACCCCUUACGGGUCGACCUGGUGUGAGCGGGGAUUAGUCUGGGUUGUGGUUAAGGCUUAAAGGUGCCAUCAAUAGUUGGGGCCCAUCCAGGACCACCUCGUGGUUCAGACCAAAAAAUAAAAAAUAAAAAAUAAAAAAAAUUAAAUGAGGAUAAUAUUAAAAAAAUUAAAAUUAAAAGAAAAAUCAGAUAAUAGAUCCUAUUUUUAUGAAACACAACUACUUAUUAUCUUUUUUAAUUCCUAAAAUAAAUUUAUUUUUAUUUUUUAAAAACCUCUCUUAGGCGCGAAAACGCUUGCAAAAAGGCUAGUACCUUAAUUAAACACAAGUCAAAGAUAACUUCUUCUUUGUUGACCUUUGACUAAUAACAAACAACAAGGCUGGGCCUCAACGCAACCCAAAAAAAGGGGCCUCAAUAAAUACUUUCUAUUUUCUUUGCCCAUGAAAAUGUUGGGCUGGCCUAAACCCUACAAAAAAUUUCAAGGUUCUUUUUACAAAAGCGCUUGUAACAAAAUCGUUUUUUUAGCAAAAUUACUUUAUGCAACUAGCCCUUAACAAACAAACUGGGGGUUAAAGUCUAUUCAAUACGACUUACCGUUUGGUUUCGAACACCUUAAACGACUGAAGCAUGUACUCGCAAUCGUCCCUUCCACUCGCCCAUGGCGGCGUGGCCUCGUCGUCCUCCUUCUCCUUCUCGUCGGAGCCAGAGCCAGGAGGUGUAGAAGAAGCUCUGCUCCAACUGGUCCAGGACCACCACCAAACCUCCCUCAGACUCCGCGAAGUCACCGGUGAGUUGACUCAGUUCCCCCCAAAUCGAAUUUUGAAUUCGACCUAGGGUUUGAAAAAAUGAAGCUCGAUUGUUGAAAUUGGAUUAGUGAGAAAUUAAUUGAGUGAUUAAGAGUAAUGAGAGGCGAUUGGUUGUAUCAGAGAAGGCGAAGAAGGACGCGAUUAAGAAGGCGGCGCGCGCGGCGGAGCUGAUGGUGGACGCAGUGAACGGCGGCGUUCAAGAGUCGUUUGUGAACGAGAAGCGAAUUGAGUAUGAAAUUAGGGCUUUGACCGCCACCAUCACUCGCUUCACCAAACAGACCGAUCAAUGGCUCUCUGUCACUCAUUCUAUGAACUCCGCCAUUAAGGUUGAUAGAAUUUCAAUUAUGCAUUUUCGGUGAUUUUCAGUUUUUCUUUUGUAAAUUUAAUUAAUGUUGGUUUUUAAAGAUGGGGUUUUUCUUCUUUGUGCGGCAGGAAUUUGGAGAUUUUGAGAACUGGAUGAAGAUCAUGGAGUUUGAUUGUAAGAAUAUCACUGCAGCUAUUCACAACAUUCACCAAGCAUGAUCAAGCAGCAAGGUGUUUGCCUUUACCAAUUUCCAUGUAAUUUCUGAUUAUCUUCUCUAUAAUUUGUAAAGCAUCUCAAUUAUAGAAUAAUAAACCUUGGUUCUUUUUGCCCCAUAUGGUAUUUCACUUUUCACAAUGUGCAAAUCUGCGUGAAAGUAGCUGAAUUUAGUAGGAUUUAUGAGGGAAAUUAUAACAAGGCUGCCAACACAGCGACUGAUAGUCACUCAGGUAGCUGCUGGGUGAACUGUCGCUCGCAUCCCUCUUUAUGAAUGAGAGGGAGGCAAGUAUAUAUCUACCUUGUUUUAUUUUGGUCACAAUUGACGUUGUAAUGGCCUUUCCAAAAUUUAACUAGAAAUUAAAUGACAAUUGUAUUUUGAAGAGGUCACAUGAAGAGAUGAAGGAGGAAAAUGUCAAAUGCAAAACGCAGCAACUUGUAUCAGAAAACAGAAAACUCAGGUUGGCUUUUGGCCGACUCUUGAGUUGAGUGUCAACAUCUUAGGGAUUAGGGUUAGGGUGGAUUAACCAAUAGCACAAGUUGCUUACAUCAGCUAAUUCUGAAAAGGGUUUAAUUAGAUGGGAUUUGUAUUCUAAUCUAGUACUAAUCCUCUGUUUCACCAUUGACUUCCCAGUAAGACUUGGUCUAAACGGUGAUUGUUAACCUGGAUUUCAUUAAAAAUUAAUCUUAAGAAUAGAGUCGGCCACCUAACCAUUUACUUGUUUUCUGCUUCAGUGCUGCAACUUGGUAUGGUCGCGGAGAGAACUAUCAUUUUUUUUGCAGAUUGUGUGCUGGAGGAAAGACUUUGGGUUCUGCAUUUUCUUCUUCAUUUAUCUUAUUUCCCCCCAAACACCAAAGUCUUUGUAAGCAGCUGUGUUUUGUUAAUGUAAAAACAGAAAACUAUAAUCAAAUAGAGAUAAAAACAAACACCAAUGUGGGUUUAAGCAGCUGUGUUUGAAAAUAAGCAGGGGGUUUCCUGAUCGCAAUGCCUUGCAACGCAAGACAUGAACGGUGGAUAUUAAAAUGGUUUCAUAAUUAAAGAGAUGACACGGAUUAGGGUGGUAAGCAAAGCUGCUUUAGCAUUUUGAAAAGAAAAAUUAAAGUCAAUUACAGUUGGCUUAUAUAUAUAAUAUACUCUGCUAAUUAAUUAAUUUGGGGUUCGGCAAAAUUUUGAAAGGAACUUGCCAUAUGUCAAAUAAAAAUACUUGUUACAUCAGACAAUGCGAAUUUGACAAUAUCAAACAAGUACCAGGUACCACCUCAACAAAGAUAUCAAACAUAUGGGGAAAAAUAACUUGGACGACAAGAAGUAUGCCAUGUCUUGCAAUAUAAUGUCAAAGAAAAUCUUUAUUAUUAAAUAAGAUAGUUCAUUUUUGGGUACAUAACAACAUAAUAGAUUACACUUAGCCAUGGUCAUGAACAUCAAAUCAUGUCAAUGGACUUCAGAAACUUUAAUUGUUACAGAAUAGGCCAACAAAUGUAUAUCAAGUUAACACCGUCUCUCAUGCGCAGUUUCUUUCUACGCAUUGAAAGACAAAAAAUACAAACUAGAGAGAAACAUAUAGGUGCAAACCACACCAUGCACCUCGCACACCAACCAAAAAGUGAGGAAAGAAAACUGGAGGAUUCGUACCCUAAACCUCCUCCAAAUCAAGCUCCGGCACAUGUUGGACAAUCACUUAAUCCUAAAAGCUUAAACUUUUAGGAAAUGGUCACAAUGUAUAUCAAGCAUAUAGAAUCGAAAAUUUGAUUCUAAUUGAUUUUCCGGCAGUUGAGUCUUACUUCUCCAUUAUUCCCAGUGAGAGGCUUGAUGUUGCCCAUCUUGAUCAUAGAAUUUGCAAAGUCUUUUGCAAAAGAUUCCGAGUUCCUGCUGUAUUUCAGCACCAGCUUAUCACUAUCUGUACCAUUAUUUUUAUAGAGCUCUUGAUCAGAAUGGAGGAGACCCUUUUGUUGUAACAAAGCCUUAAAGUAGACGUUAUCGAAUCGCCUUGUAGUUGAAUCUAGUGGCCUUGUGUUGUUGUCUCCUCCAGUUGUUGGACAAUUGUAUUUUGCAGAGGCUGCAAACUUGGGGUCUAUGUUGGUAUCAUUGUAAAUCCUGGCACGGAAGGUGGUACACCGAGCAAGUCCAAUGGUGUGGGCAGCUGAGAGCACAAUCAAGUCUUUAAGGUUAAGUCCAUGAGCUUGGAAGUUAGAAAGAAGCUGUGAGAAGCUGAAGACUGGGGGUGGAAGAUUUCUGUUUGCAUCAUUCACGCUUGCAGUUCUUGCAUCCCUUCUUCCUAAUUGUACUUCGUAAUCAGGUCCUCCCAACUAAAACACAAACACAAAAUUUCAUUUUUAAAAUCAUUUCAUUCCAUGUCGAAAGAAAACGAGUACUCUUAGGAUCACCAAAUUUGUCUGCCAAAUGAAUAUUAGGGUUUAGUAUGAAACUGGAACGUAUACUGGGACAAUAUUUGGUGAACACAUUUGAUGAACCUAGCAAUAUUAGCAAACAUGUAUAUACUCACAAUGGAUACAGAAUCACGAGCUGCAACAGCUAAUAUAUCUGCACAUGAGACCACACUCUUGUAGCAAGCUUUGUCGACAGCUUUUUUGAUAUCAUCGAUGACGUUGAAUCCCCGGAUCGAAUUCAGAUUUGGGAAGGCAGUCUUCUCACCGGUGAAGUUGGCAGUGUCAUCAAGCAGAACCGAUCCAUCGCAACCCUGUAUCAAUUCAACCAUGAACAUAUAUCAGGAAAAAAAUUAGAACUGAUAAUUUACGUGAACAACUAUUUCAAGUGCACUAUAUGCAUGCACAAUCAAUAUAAGCUUAAUUACAUUAACAAAGCAGUCAUGGAAAUGAAGGCGAAGUAGAGAGGCUCCGAUGCGUGGCUCAUGGCUGAUGGCCCGUUUGACGACUUUUCUGAUAGCUGGCAGUGCCUGAGGGCACACUUUGUUGUAGAAACCAGAACUUAGUUGUGCAGAUGUUGGCAUCAUACUAGUGGCAGCUACCACUACAAAACAGAUGAUCACGAGGAAAGAUCGAAGAGCAGCCAUGGCAGAAGGUUUUGAUCUUGUCGAAUUGGUGAAUAGUGAUGAUGAAGAUCAAGGACUUUGAGUGCUUAUAUAUAUAGAAAAUUUGCGUUGCCCACUUGUUAUUUCCAAUUCUAAUAGAAAGCUUGUUAAAUUGGAUGUAUAGACCAAUUCUAAUAUGAGUAAUUUUUGGUGCCUAGUAUGAUUUGAUCAUUGCGUGGACCUGUUCCACUUAAUUUGGAGCGUUAAAUCCUCUUCUCUGUCUUUUCGUCGGAGCCAAGAGAUGUAGAAGCUAAGACAAACAUACCACACCUCUUUUAAUACUGAACUAAUUAGUGAAUAAUUAAGAGUGAUUAACAAAUAUUUGACCAAAAAAGAGUAGUCAGCACUUGCUGAUUUGAAGCAUAAUUGUUGGUUUUUAAGGGUGUGUUUUUGUAUGGCAGGAAAUUGGAGGCAUUGAGAACUGGAUGAAGAUCAUCCAGUUGUAUUUCACAUUCACAAAGUGCAAAUUUGCUUAACAAUAGCCGUACACAAGAGUGAGUGUGAGGGUAGGUAUAGCCUUAUGUGCUUAUAUGUUAUAUAUUAAGUUCCCUAAACGUGACAUGAAUUUUCAUCAAUAUCAUGUCAUGUGAUUGGGCAAGGAUUCUUCAAAAUAUGCAUCAAGUUGGAAUGAAAACUAAGUAGACGCGAUUGUUAUUGGAGUUCGACGCAUGUGUACAUAUAUAGAUUACUUAAUCGUUGUUGACGAUGACAUGCCCCAAUCCAGAUACGAAUACGUGACAAGUGUAUCAGGAUCACCUACUUCAUUUCAUUCAAAGUUGACAUUGGAGUAACCUAUCUUAGAUUCAACAAGAAAUUCAGUGCAGCUUAGUUUGAAAGAGGCCACAUUGAAAAGAAAUAGAAGAAUAAUGUCAAUUUAAAUCGUUGCUUGUACCAGAAACUCAGGAUUUGGAAAUUGCCUUGGCUUUUGGCUGCUUCCAAAUUGAAUGUCAACUUCAUAUGAAUUAGUAGGUAAUUACUAAUUAGGAUGGAUUAACCAAUAAAACAAGUUUCUCAAAUAUCCGUUAAAAUCCAGUCAUUCUUUAUCUUCACCAUUUGACUUAAGACUUGGUCUAUUAACUAACCUAAGAUUCCAUUAAAACUUUAAUCAUAUAGUAUAUAUAGUUAAUUGGUCACCUAACCAUUUACUUGUUUUCUUAUUUAGUCUGCAACUUGGAUAUGGUCGUGGCGAGAGAGAAACCAUCACCAUUUUCAGACUGUGUGUGGAUGUGGAUCAAUGUUGUCGUCUUGUCUUCUUCCCCAGAAUAAGAUAUCAAAAGUUGGGUGCAAGCUAAGCAACGUCUAUUCUUUUUUAAAUCAAACAAAAACAGAGGGGUUUUCCCAAUUUCAGAAUCAAAGCCUUGCAAGUAAGCCGACGGUGGACAUAAAAAAACACAGUUUUAUAAUUUUAUAUAUAAAUGAUGGUAACCAUGAUUUCUUGUACAUGAUUUAUACUAGAAGUCAAUUACUUUUGGCUUAUUAUAAUAUACUUUUAGCUUUGCCGUUUCAUUGCCAUAUGUCAAAAGACGGAACAGUUAGAGCCUAAUUAUAAUGCUUGUAUUUACCAAAGAAAAAUGCUAGACUUAUCACAUUUUUCAUACCACAUUAUAUACCACCUCUCUAAUAGAGGUGGGCACCAUUGUAUUGAUGUGCUCCACCUCUAUUAGAAAGGUGGUACACAAUAUGGUAUGAAAAAUGUGAUCAGCCUAGCAUUACUCUUUAUCAAAAACCGGUACUCACCUACAGAGUUGACUAAACUUUCGCUGGCUAGAAGCCUAUCUGCGGCUCUCUCGAUACUUGGCAAAGCAAGCACCACGUUUACUUGUUCUUGCUCGGCAGCCGAGAGCUCGGCUCGGUCCAACUCAACUGCAAUAACCACCAGACCUGUUAGGUUUUAGCCUACUCUUCGCCAAAAAAAAUAUAAAUAAUAAUAAAACUGUUGAAGAAUACAUGAGUCCCACAUCGAAAACUUAACAAAAUAGAAAGUCUCAUAUAAUAAAUGGUUUCACUCCUAAUAACAUCGAUGCCUUUUGUAUAAAACCACACACCUGCUAAACAGGUGGUUACGUUGGGAACAAUAUUGAUGUUGCUAGUGUGGGCCAAGGGUCCGUCCCUCUGAAAUCUUAACAUGGUAUCAGAGCGGGUUGGUUGACUGAGCUCGAUUAAACCAAAUCAAACAAACUCAAAUCAAACAAAAACCCUAAAUUGAAUCAAAAUCAAACAAACCCUAAAUUAAAUAAUAAUAAAUAAAAAAAUGACCGAUGUGGAAUUGGUUGCACGUGUGGCCCACUAAAAAGUAGUCCCACGUGAGGAGGAGUGUUGAAGAAUACACGAGUCCCACAUCGGAAACUUAACAAAAUAGAAAGUCCCAUAUAAUAAAUGGUUUCACUCAUAAUAACAUCGAGACCUUUUGUAUAAAACCGCACACCUGCUAAACAGGUGGUUAAGUUGGGGACAAUAUCGAUGUUGUUAGUGGUGGGCCAAGGGUCCGUCCCUCUGAAAUCUUAGCAUGGUAUCAGAGCAAUCGAUCCUCGGUUGUCUCUAAAUUCCCAUAUCAAAUUUUCUUCAAACACAAACCCUAAAUCCUCAUAUCAAAUUUCUUCAAACACAAACCCUAAAUCCUCAUAUCAAAUUUCUUGACACCCAAACCCUAAAUCAAAUUCCUCUUAUUUACAGCUUCAAAUACAGAUCUUCAUACCCGAAUCCUCAUAUCCCCUUAUUACAGCACCCUAAACACAAAUUCUUUUUUUUUUGUUCUCUUAUUCUUAAAUAUUUCCGCUGCCAUGAAUAUCGUCUCAUCUUCCCAAACCGCUGACUUCACUUCCCCAUCCUCCAAAAUUGCCACAACAGGUUCCCAUGGUUAUGUUUUGCAUAGUUCUUCAACGAACCACAUCUAGGUUAUUGACAUCGGAGCCACUGAUCACAUGACCUUUGAUCCUAGACAACUUACCUUUCAUACCCCGUCUUCUCAAUCGGUGGUGUCUAAUGCCAAUGGUACCCCUUCCCCAGUAAUUGGGGAGGGUUCCCUCUCUCUCUCUCUCUAACUCCCUCACUUUGGAUUCUGUGUUGAUUGUUCCAUCCUUAUGUCAUAAUCUUUUGUCUGUUGCCCAAAUUACUACGGCUUUGAAUUGCACUGUAACCUUUUGGCAUACUUAUUGUGUUUUUCAGGUCAUCCUUAGCAGCAAGAAGAUGGUUGUGGUACUAGGAGGGGCAAACUCUACUAUCUGGACUUGGCCUCUGACAGUGAAGCCAGCCUCAAUCAAGCUUACAAAAUUUGGGGUACGAGUGUUGAGAAGCAAAUUUCUGAAGUAUGGUUAUGGCAUCGACGUCUUGGACAUGCGUCGUUUGGAUAUUUACAGAAGCUAUUUCCUUCCUUAUUUUCCCAGUUAGAUAUCUCCAAUUUUACGUGUGACAUCUGUGAACUAGUCAAGAGCCAUUGUGUUCCUUUUCCCUUAAGUUCACAUAAAAGUUUGGUUCUUUUUUCUUUUGUUCAUUCUGAUGUUUGGGGCCCGGCUAAAAUUACCACUUCUGGGGGAGCUAGAUGGUUUGUCACGUUUAUCGAUGAUUGCACACGUAUGACCUGGGUUUCUCUUCUCCAAACAAAAGGGGAAGUCAGUUCCAAAUUUCAACAGUUCUAUCAAAUGGUCGAGAAACAAUUUCAUACCAGAAUUCAGGUUCUUCGGUUUGACAAUGGCGGAGAAUUUCUCAACCAUGAUCUUAAUCAGUUCUUACGAGAUCAUGGCAUCAUACAUCAACGCUCAAGCCCUUACACUCCACAACAAAAUGGUGUGGCUGAACGAAAGAAUAGACACUUAUUGGAAGUGGUUCGUGCAUAUCUCUUUGGUGCCAAUAUGCCUCGGUCCUUUUGGGGAGAAGCCGUUCUCUCUGCAGCAUACCUUAUCAAUCGGAUUCCAUCCAGUAUCCUCAAUUUCCAAACCCCCCUUCAAACACUCUACCACCAUCUCCAAAUACCUCAUACCAAAAACCUGGAACCCUGGAUCUUUGGCUGUGUGGUCUUCGUUCACUUACAUGAUCACUAACACAGCAAAUUGGAUCCCCACGCCGAAAAAUGUGUUUUCAUCGACUAUGCACCUCAUCAGAAAGGGUACUGGUGUUAUCAUCCUCCGAGUCAGAAAGUCUAUACUUCUAUGGAUGUUGUGUUCCGGGAAUCCGACAUAUAUUUUUCAAUUGUCCAGGGGGAGGAUCAAAAUGCCAAGACUUCUCACAUUUCAGAAUUUUUCCUUGACUAAAAACGACCGGUCACAGGAUUCGAACAACCGGUCUCCUGCGACUCUGCCUGAAAACGACCAGUUGCAGGAUGCGAACGACCGGCCGCCAGAGACUUUGCCUGAAAAUGACCAGUCGCAGGUCGAAAGCGACCGGUCACCUCCUACAAAUUUGAAUAUGCUUCUUCAAAAUGAUCGGUCCCCAGAGGAUUACGACUGGUCGUCUCCCGGCUGUCAAACUCAUGAGGAGAAAAUUGAGGAGUUUUUGGCCGCUCAGGAGUAUUCUUCAGCUCCAGUAUCACACCAAUCACCUGCUGAGGACGUCAUUUAGGUAACAUCUUUUCCUGAAACUGAUAACAUUAAUGAAAUAGCCCAUGAUAAUUUAAUUUCAAAAGGCACAGAGCCUGCAUAUCAGAUUCCAAAAUGGAAGAACCAUGGAAAACCUCCAAUUCACUACGAAGUAGACCUUAAUGCAAAUGGGAAAUAUUCCAUCAACAAUUAUGUAUCCAUCAAUAGAUCAUCAGAGUCACGGGUACAAUUUGUGAAGCAAUUGGCCGACAUACUUGUUCCCAACAGUAGAACUGAAGCACUAGAAGAUUCAAAAUGUAAAGAAGCCAUGAAUGAAGAAAUGCGAGCUCUCUAGAAGAAUGACACAUGGGAACUUGUGCCAUUACCUCAUGGAAAGAAGACAGUGGGAUGCAGGUGGAUUUAUACUGUGAAACUCAAAGCAGAUGGAUCCAUUGAAAGAUAUAAAGCUAGAUUGGUGGCGAAGGAGUACAUACAAAGAUAUGGGAUAGACUACCAAGAGACCUUUGCCCAAGUAACUAAGAUUAAAACUAUCAGAGUCUUUCUGUUUCUAGCAGCAAAUCUCGAUUGGCCAUUACACCAGUUUGAUAUCAAAAAUGCUUUCUUACUUGGAGACUUGGAAGAAAAAGUAUAUAUGGACUUGCCACCAGGAUGUAACUUAGCUCGUGACAAGGAGAAUCAAGUUUGCAAGCUCAGAAAGUCAUUGUAUGGGUUAAAGCAAUCCCUUAGGGCAUGGUUUGGCAGAUUCACUAAAUCCAUGAAGAAUUUUGGGUAUAUAUAGAGUAAUGCAGAUCACACUUUGUUCUUGAAGUAUGAUGGAAAAAGACUUACUGCAUUGAUUGUUUAUGUGGAUGACAUAGUCGUAACUGGAAACGACACAGGAGAGCAACUGAAACUGCAGAAGUAUUUGUCUCAGGAAUUUGAAAUGAAAGAUUUAGGUGAUCUGAAGUACUUUCUAGGAAUUGAAGUAGCCAGGUCCACAACUGGUAUAUUUAUGUCUCAAAUGAAGUAUGUAUUAGAUCUGCUCACUGAAACAGGAAUGCUUGGAUGCAAACCUGUUGAUACACCCAUCGAGAUGAAUCACAAGUUAUGUGAAGACAUGGAUCAAGAACCAACUAAUAAGGAACAAUACCAACGCCUUGUUGGAAAGUUGAUAUAUUGAGCACACACAAUACCAGAUAUUGCAUAUGCUGUGAGUGUGGUUAGUCAGUUUAUGCAUUCACCCAGUGUGUCCUAUAGGAAUGCAGUUGAUCGGAUCUUAAGAUACUUAAAGUCAGCACCUGGGAAAGAGUUAACGUUCUCUAAAAAUAGAGAUCUCGAAGUUGUUGGAUAUACAGAUACUGAUUGGGCUGGCUCUGUUCCUGACAGACGCUCUACUUCAGGUUACUUAACUUUUGUGGGAGGUAACUUAGUCACUUGGCGGAGUAAAAAACAAAAUGUAGUUUCUCGAUCUAGUGCUGAAGCAAAGUAUCGAGGAAUGGCUCAAGGAGUUUGUGAAUUACUAUGGAUAAGAAGACUAUUGACAGAAUUGGGGUUCAAGCCAGAAAAGCCAAUGGAGUUACAUUGUGAUAACAAGUCAGCCAUCGAUAUUGCCCAUAAUCCAGUUCAACAUGAUCGAACUACACAUGUUGAGGUGGAUAGACAUUUUAUCAAAGAAAAACUUGAGAAGAAGAUCAUCCGCCUACCAUUCGUAAAAUCAGAAGAUCAGUUGGCAGAUAUCUUAACAAUAGCUGUUUGUGGAAGAGUAUUUUAUGACUCACUUACCAAGUUGGGCAUUGGUGACAUAUAUGCACCAACUUGAGGAGGAGUGUUGACGUGAGUCUCCUAAUUAAUCAAAGAGAUUUACUUCCUUGAUUAAUUAAGGGAUUUACUUUCCUAUUUUUAUAUAGUUGAUAAAUUAUUGUAUAAUUAGGAGAUACUUUCCUAAUUCUUUACUGUAUCUAAUUCCUUGUAUAGCACAUGUAAACUCUUAUAUAUACCUCAUUAUGGAGAAGAAUAAAACUUAACCUAAUACAUUCAAACAAUAUUCAUAUUUUAGCAAAAACAACAACAAAAGAACAACGACAAGGAGAAAGGAAGAACAUGAAGCAGGGUAGAACAAGGAACAUAAGGCAACUAUGUAUGCAUGUGUGCCCUAAGCAAAGUGACAGACCGCCCGACCUGGCUUUCUAAAACGCCUCUGUACCCUAGGACGCCUCGGCUCCACCCCCUCAUCAAACUCCCAUGCAGCCGAUGCGUAGAACCAGUACGGUUUCCAUGUUUUCUGAAAGGACGGGUUAGUUUCGAUUAUUUUCCCUACCGCGCUUUAGAGGUAGCAGAAGCCAACUUGGUGUAGGCUUCUCUUUAACAAGAAGCAGUGCAACAUUUGGUUUAUGGUCGGCUCGAAAUUGUGUACCCGCCGCCACAACGCCUGGACACUUAACAUUGUCCUGUACACGUUUGGGUUCAUUUGGUGGGGGGUUAUACCGAGCCGACUCAUCCACUCUUGUACAAAGGGCGAUAAUGGCAGUCGAACCCCCUGCUUCAGCAUAUGUGCACACAAGGUCACCCACCCUAGGAGGGGUGUGCUUGGUUUUUCAUCCCCGGUCGGCACUCUCAGUAUAACGUUGUUCAGUAUGGCGUACUAUGCCCUCAACCGAUCUAAUUUUUGUUGGGUCAUGCUACUCGGAUGUUCAUCCGCUGACCACCCCUGCUCCUCCUCCUUCUUUUCGGAGUGUGAUUCCGCCCAUUCACCCGAUCCCAGUCUGGCCACUGAUGCGCUUCCUUGUUCACCUCGGUCACUACCCUCGCCACUUUGAUCAGUACCCUCUGCCUCCUUACUUCUGUUCCUUCUACUACAACCUCAGUACUCAAACCCACCAAGACCAACAGGCAUUUCCUCACCCAUCUGUUCGGUUGCGUCACACAUCUGAUCCACUACCUCCACAUUGUCCCUAUCAUCAUCCCUGAAGGCUGAUCCACUACUCCCUGUGUUUUGUGAAUCAGACACCUCUGAUCGGCUCGACAUUUCCCACAAAUCACUCACACAGGCUUCAAACACUACCCAAGGGGGAAAGAGUGGAGGCUAAGGAUCAAACAUACCAAAGUAAGAAAAUCCAGGCAACAACACACACCCAACCCAGAAACCCAAGCCAAAACGACAACCUAUGACAGUUACAAUUCUGGGGAAGAAAAGAAGGAAGAGGAAGGAAAGAAAAGAAAGAAGAUUAAGGAAAGAAAAGAAGGAAGAUGAAGGAAUGAAAACAAGUUGAAGAAGCAAAAGCAAGUCAAAAUAAAAGGAGAAGGACAAACCUUUUUUUCCUCCUCUGCAAACAAAGGAAGUGUGAACGGUGACUGAUGCUACUCGGAAAUCUCUCUCAAAUAGCAACAAUGGCAAAGACGGCGAAAUCCUGGCUGAUCCUUCCUUUUAUACCACUUGAACAAACAUCCCUACCAUCCAUGCCUCCUCUACCCCCGCUCGGAUGCAUCCACGUAGGGCUACCCCAGCACACGUCAUUCGAAAUGACGGGAGAUGACUCUACGCGACCCCUCACUGACCUCAACUUCAGCCACCAUUAAUAUGCCGCCUGCUCUGCCAAUCGCCUCUUGCCACAUCACACCUACUCAAGUACCUUCAUUUCAAAAACCUAGCGCCAAUGGCUCAAAGAAGACCUUCUCGGUUGGGGACUUGGGGGUUGCAUACCGACCAUCGACCACCGACCACAUACACCAAAUGUCAUUCAUAAUAGGAUCGGCUCACUCAAAAAGACAAAAUCUAAACUCCCCACCCAAGAUCGGCUCCUUGAGUUAAGAGUUGGGGGCUACUGUUGAUAGCUCAUACAAUCACCAUAAGCCGAGCCUAUUAUGAAUCACCACGUGGCCAUAGUCGGUCACUUUUCUACUGACCCUAGCAUAUCGGCAUCACCAGCCUCCCUAGUCGGAGGGCGACGAACCCGAGUAGUAGUCCAAUGAUCGGGUACGUGAGUAUUUACCCAACCACUAGGACGAGCAUCCUAGAUAUGAGGUGAGGACCUAACCCUGUUCCUGUCAAAUCGAUCAACUCUAUUCCUGUAAUACACAACUUGGCUAACAAGAAGAUUAGUUAAAUGCACGUCCCAUCCCUAAACAGAUGUCGCCUUAUCCCUUGAUCUCCACAUGAACUGACAGGUGAUGGAGAUGGAUCAUUUAAUACACCUCUCAUCCCUGGUCGCAUGUCACUUUGCCACCUGACCUCUGUCCAACAUGGUGAUAUGAAAUAAAACAUUAAAUGUAACUUAGAAGAGGGGAAAAGAUCUCUUCUGAAAAUAUCUUGACCUCUCCUUCUCCCUCCUAUAAAUACCCCUCGCCUAUCUCUAGACAAAGAUAAUAAAGAUUCUCACUGUGGAAACCCUAUAUCUAUUUUUCUCUUUUGCCCAAGUUAGUUGCUGACUUAACUAUCGGAGGAGUCUGAACUGGGAUCAACCCCGGUCCACCCUUAUUCUAAUAUUGUUCCAAGUCUGCAGAUCUUAAAGAAUUACUCAUCUACGAGGGUAAUUACGGGCUUAGGUUCUAGCCAGGGGCCCAAGUUACUAUACGAGAAAGAUACGUGGUUUAUAAAAUCAACAGAAUUGAGUUCAAAACCAAUGGGCCAAAUUUACUUUGUUCGAUUUGAAACAAAAUAAAACAACAUUCCAUCAACAAUUAAUAGGUAAACAACUUUAGCUAAUAUGAAUUUCCUGAAAAUAAAAACAUGCUUUUAUUCGUUGGAAGAAUAAAAAACACCAGCUAAUUAAAUUCUCACUCAACUCAACAAACAAUAACCUUAUAACUCACACAAAAUAAUAAUUCUCCCAACUUCUGGAUAAAACCUCCAAUUCUGGUUUAUUCUUGUGACAGAGAAAGUACCUCCUUAGCUUAGCUAGCUAGUUAGGCCUCCUACAGUUCAAUCUAAUCUCACCGUUGGAUCCAGUGAGUGGCUUAAUAUCUCCCAUCUUGAUCAUUGCCUUGGCAAAGUCAGAAUUGAAGGCAUUGGCACUACCGCUGUACGUUUUAACCAAUGAAUCUGUGGAUCCACCAUUGUUGUAGAGAACUUGGUCAGAGUGGAGGAGGCCCUUUUGGUUGAUGAGGUUCUUGAAGUAAGCAGUGUCAAAAGUGUUGGGAGUUUGGACGUCCAAAGGUGCAAGGUGGUUGUCUCCUGAGCCAACGGUACUUGGGCAUUUCCUUUGCCUGGCCUUGGCAAAUGAUGCAUCAAUGUUGGUGUCGUUGUAUAUGCGAUCUCUAAAAGAUGAGCACUGUGCUUUCCCGAUCGUGUGCGCUCC
Molecule: long non-coding RNA, 21008 nt
Filed under: Prunus persica (peach)
Lineage: Eukaryota; Viridiplantae; Streptophyta; Magnoliopsida; Rosales; Rosaceae
Description: long non-coding RNA (PPER_LNC005620)
Source: RNAcentral